AAGCUCGUAGUUGAAUUUCGCGCCUAGCUGGACGGUCCGCCCUUCGGGUGAGUACUGUCUGUGGUCGGGUCCUACCUUCUGGCGAAGCGUCAUGGCCUUAACCGGCCGUGGCGGGGAACCAGGACUUUUACUGUGAAAAAAUUAGAGUGUUCAGAGCAGGCAAUCGCUUGGAUACAUUAGCAUGGAAUAAUGGAAUAGGAUAAUGGUUCUAUUUGUUGGUUUCUAGGACCGUUGUAAUGAUUAAUAGGGAUAGUUGGGGGCAUUAGUAUUCAAUUGUCAGAGGUGAAAUUCUUGGAUUUAUUGAAGACUAACUACUGCGAAAGCAUUUGCCAAGGAUGUUUUCAUUAAUCAAGAACGAAAGUUAGGGGAUCGAAGACGAUCAGAUACCGUCGUAGUCUUAACCAUAAACUAUGCCGACUAGGAAUCGGGCGAUGUUGAAAAAAUGACGCGCUCGGCACCUCAUGGGAAACCAAAGUGUUUGGGUUCCGGGGGGAGUAUGGUCGCAAGGCUGAAACUUAAAGGAAUUGACGGAAGGGCACCACCAGGGGUGGAGCCUGCGGCUUAAUUUGACUCAACACGGGAAAA
This 585-nucleotide ribosomal RNA is filed under the name uncultured Paraglomeraceae. Its description in RNAcentral is "SSU rRNA". It matches the Rfam family "Eukaryotic small subunit ribosomal RNA", at positions 624 to 1213 of the family's 1831-position model. The record is from RNAcentral. Lineage: Eukaryota; Fungi; Glomeromycota; Glomeromycetes; Paraglomerales.